RNAcentral lists this ribosomal RNA (608 nucleotides) under uncultured freshwater bacterium. Its description in RNAcentral is "bacterial SSU rRNA". It matches the Rfam family "Bacterial small subunit ribosomal RNA", at positions 8 to 607 of the family's 1533-position model. The record is from RNAcentral.
AGAGUUUGAUCCUGGCUCAGGAUGAACGCUAGCGGCAGGCUUAAUACAUGCAAGUCGAGGGGUAGCAUGAUUGUAGCAAUACAAUUGAUGACGACCGGCAAACGGGUGCGGAACACGUACACAACCUUCCUACAAGUGGGGAGUAGCCCAGAGAAAUUUGGAUUAAUACCCCGUAACAUAGCGAUGUGGCAUCACAUUGCUAUUAUAGCUUCGGCGCUUGUUGAUGGGUGUGCGGCUGAUUAGAUAGUUGGCGGGGUAACGGCCCACCAAGUCUACGAUCAGUAGCUGAUGUGAGAGCAUGAUCAGCCACACGGGCACUGAGACACGGGCCCGACUCCUACGGGAGGCAGCAGUAAGGAAUAUUGGACAAUGGACGCAAGUCUGAUCCAGCCAUGCCGCGUGAAGGAUUAAGGUCCUCUGGAUUGUAAACUUCUUUUAUAAGGGACGAAAAAAGGUCUUUCUAGAUCGUCUGACGGUACCUUAUGAAUAAGCACCGGCUAACUCCGUGCCAGCAGCCGCGGUAAUACGGAGGGUGCAAGCGUUAUCCGGAUUCACUGGGUUUAAAGGGUGCGUAGGCGGGCAGGUAAGUCAGUGGUGAAAUCCUAGAG